Molecule: ribosomal RNA, 298 nt
Filed under: Lysinibacillus fusiformis
Lineage: Bacteria; Bacillati; Bacillota; Bacilli; Caryophanales; Bacillaceae
Description: partial 16S ribosomal RNA
Rfam family: Bacterial small subunit ribosomal RNA
Source: RNAcentral
UUGUGCCAGCAGCGCGGUAAUACGUAGGUGGCAAGCGUUGUCCGGAAUUAUUGGGCGUAAAGCGCGCGCAGGUGGUUUCUUAAGUCUGAUGUGAAAGCCCACGGCUCAACCGUGGAGGGUCAUUGGAAACUGGGAGACUUGAGUGCAGAAGAGGAUAGUGGAAUUCCAAGUGUAGCGGUGAAAUGCGUAGAGAUUUGGAGGAACACCAGUGGCGAAGGCGACUAUCUGGUCUGUAACUGACACUGAGGCGCGAAAGCGUGGGGAGCAAACAGGAUUAGAUACCCUGGUAGUCCCAAGA